This 67-nucleotide transfer RNA is filed under the name Marmota monax (woodchuck). RNAcentral's name for it is "tRNA.Ala". Lineage: Eukaryota; Metazoa; Chordata; Mammalia; Rodentia; Sciuridae. The record is from RNAcentral.
GGUUGUGGCUCAGCAGUAGAGCGCUUGCCUCGCAUGUGCGAGACCCUGGGUUCGAUCCUCAGCACCA